AUUGAACGCUGGCGGAAUGCUUUACACAAGCAAGUCGAACGGCAGCACGGACUUCGGUCUGGUGGCGAGUGGCGAACGGGUGAGUAACAUAUCGGAACGUAUCCAAUAAUGGGGGAUAACGAGUCGAAAGAUUCGCUAAUACCGCAUACGCCCUACGGGGGAAAGCUGGGGACCUUCGGGCCUGGCGUUAAUGGAGCGGACGAUAUCUGAUUAGCUAGUUGGUGAGGUAAAGGCUCACCAAGGCGACGAUCAGUAGCUGGUCUGAGAGGACGACCAGCCACACUGGAACUGAGACACGGUCCAGACUCCUACGGGAGGCAGCAGUGGGGAAUUUUGGACAAUGGGCGCAAGCCUGAUCCAGCCAUUCCGCGUGAGUGAAGAAGGCCUUCGGGUUGUAAAGCUCUUUCGCAAGGGAAGAAAACUUAGCCACUAACAUUGGUUGAGGUUGACGGUACCUUGAUAAGAAGCACCGGCUAACUACGUGCCAGCAGCCGCCGUAA
This 500-nucleotide ribosomal RNA is filed under the name uncultured bacterium. RNAcentral's name for it is "partial 16S ribosomal RNA". It matches the Rfam family "Bacterial small subunit ribosomal RNA", at positions 30 to 523 of the family's 1533-position model. The record is from RNAcentral.